RNAcentral lists this ribosomal RNA (253 nucleotides) under uncultured bacterium. RNAcentral's name for it is "partial 16S ribosomal RNA". It matches the Rfam family "Bacterial small subunit ribosomal RNA", at positions 524 to 776 of the family's 1533-position model. The record is from RNAcentral.
UACGGGGGAGGCAAGCGUUGUUCGGAAUUACUGGGCGUAAAGGGCUCGUAGGCGGCCAACUAAGUCCGACGUGAAAUCCCCAGGCUUAACCUGGGAACUGCGUCGGAUACUGGAUGGCUUGAAUUCGGGAGAGGGAUGCAGAAUUCCAGGUGUAGCGGUGAAAUGCGUAGAUAUCUGGAGGAAUACCGGUGGCGAAGGCGGCAUCCUGGACCGACAUUGACGCUGAUGAGCGAAAGCUAGGGGAGCAAACGGG